RNAcentral lists this ribosomal RNA (253 nucleotides) under uncultured bacterium. Its description in RNAcentral is "partial 16S ribosomal RNA". It matches the Rfam family "Bacterial small subunit ribosomal RNA", at positions 524 to 776 of the family's 1533-position model. The record is from RNAcentral.
UACGUAGGGUGCAAGCGUUGCUCGGAAUUACUGGGCGUAAAGCACAUGUAGGCUGUUCUAUAAGUUAGAGGUGUAAUCCCUGGGCUUAACCCAGGAACUGCUUCUAAAACUGUAGGGCUAGAGUGUGGUAGAGGAUAGUAGAAUUCCUAGUGUAGGGGUAAAAUCCGUAGAUAUUAGGAGGAAGACCGAAAGCGAAAGCAGCUAUCUAGGCCAUUACUGACGCUGAGAUGUGAAAGCGUGGGGAGCAAACAGG